Lycium ferocissimum is the source of this 821-nucleotide long non-coding RNA. RefSeq lists it as uncharacterized. Lineage: Eukaryota; Viridiplantae; Streptophyta; Magnoliopsida; Solanales; Solanaceae. The transcript is spliced from 3 exons. The record is from RefSeq and is a predicted model, not a curated record.
GAAGCUUAUAGAAGUAGAAUAAAACCUUGUGCAUAAACCUUGUGAUCUAUCAUUUCAAAAAAUACAAAAUCUUGAAAAUGGCAAAUCCACAACAAGAAUCAAAUAGGCCAUGGAUUCUUGAAGCAUUACCUCUUCUAGUAGUCAUACUAAUCGCUGCUCAUGUACUCGCUUUGGUGUAUUGGAUUUACAGGCUAGCUACUGAGAAACAGUCACAGAGAAGUAAAAAGCACUAACAAUGUAGAUAGAUUGGAUUUAAUUUUGGUUCAGUUUGUAGGAAAAAUGCAAGGGAUUCAUUCUAAACAUUUCAGACGCAAGCUUUACACUCAAGGCUUUGGUGAUUAGUCAGCCCUCUUUGCCUGAGCAUACAUGUGUCCCUUUUUCUCCGUGAACUUGUGUGUGAUUAUGCUGGAAAAGUCUGGCAUUUGUUACAUGUUAAUGGAUUUUAAUUGCUUGCCAUUGUUGAUAAACUUCUUCAUUCUUCUGUUACACCAGUGUUGUGAAUUUCUACCCCAAGUUUGUAAUUCUUCUGUAGGAUCUGCAUCAAUUAUCCUCUUUGGAUGUGUUCUGUUUGUCACAAGUUUAGCUAGAGCCUCUUAUACAGUUGUAGUUUCUUAUGCAUAGUAAACUCUGAGUCAUACUUAUAAAUAUGGUCUAGUAUGAAAAUUGCUACAGAUAUUUUGGGGUGUAAUUGGCUGUUUGAUUAGUUAAAGUGGCUGAUGUGGCAGAAAUGGUUUUCUUCAAAGACGGUCAAUCAAAACUUUCAAAAUGUAGGUCAUACUUUAGUCCAUUUUAAUCUGUGAAAUGAUUGUUUUUUCCUUUCC